GACGAACGCUGGCGGCGUGCUUAACACAUGCAAGUCGAACGGAAAGGCCCUGCUUUUGUGGGGCGCUCGAGUGGCGAACGGGUGAGUAACACGUGAGUAACAUGCCCCUGACUUUGGGAUAACAUCAGGAAACUGGGGCUAAUACCGGAUAGGAGCUCCUGCUGCACGGGGGGGGUUGGAAAGUUUCGGCGGUUUGGGAUGGACUCGCGGCUUAUGGGCUUGUUGGUGGGGUAGUGGCUUACCACGCCUUUGACGGGUAGCCGGCCUUAGAGCGUGGCCGGCCACCUUGCGCCUGCGAUACGGCCCAGACUCCUACGGUCGGCAGCAGUGGGGAAUAUUGCACAAUGGGCGGAAGCCUGAUGCAGCAACGCCGCGUGCGUGAUGACGGCCUUCGAGUUGUAAACCACUUUCGCCUGUGCCGAAGCGUGAUUGACGGUACUGGGUCAAGAAGCCCCGGCUAACUACGUG
Molecule: ribosomal RNA, 468 nt
Filed under: uncultured bacterium
Lineage: Bacteria
Description: partial 16S ribosomal RNA
Rfam family: Bacterial small subunit ribosomal RNA
Source: RNAcentral